GACGAACGCGGCGGCGUGCCUAAUACAUGCAAGUAGAACGCUGAAGAGAGGAGCUUGCUCUUCUGGAUGAGUUGCGAACGGGUGAGUAACGCGUAGGUAACCUGCCUUGUAGCGGGGGAUAACUAUUGGAAACGAUAGCUAAUACCGCAUAACAAUGAGUGACACAUGUCAUUUAUUUGAAAGGGGCAAUUGCUCCACUACAAGAUGGACCUGCGUUGUAUUAGCUAGUAGGUGAGGUAACGGCUCACCUAGGCGACGAUACAUAGCCGACCUGAGAGGGUGAUCGGCCACACUGGGACUGAGACACGGCCCAGACUCCUACGGGAGGCAGCAGUAGGGAAUCUUCGGCAAUGGGGGCAACCCUGACCGAGCAACGCCGCGUGAGUGAAGAAGGUUUUCGGAUCGUAAAGCUCUGUUGUAAGUCAAGAACGAGUGUGAGAGUGGAAAGUUCACACUGUGACGGUAGCUUACCAGAAAGGGACGGCUAACUACGUGCCAGCAGCCGCGGUAAUACGUAGGUCCCGAGCGUUGUCCGGAUUUAUUGGGCGUAAAGCGAGCGCAGGCGGUUUGAUAAGUCUGAAGUUAAAGGCUGUGGCUCAACCAUAGUUCGCUUUGGAAACUGUCAAACUUGAGUGCAGAAGGGGAGAGUGGAAUUCCAUGUGUAGCGGUGAAAUGCGUAGAUAUAUGGAGGAACACCGGUGGCGAAAGCGGCUCUCUGGUCUGUAACUGACGCUGAGGCUCGAAAGCGUGGGGAGCGAACAGG
RNAcentral lists this ribosomal RNA (763 nucleotides) under uncultured Streptococcus sp. RNAcentral's name for it is "bacterial SSU rRNA". It matches the Rfam family "Bacterial small subunit ribosomal RNA", at positions 28 to 776 of the family's 1533-position model. Lineage: Bacteria; Bacillati; Bacillota; Bacilli; Lactobacillales; Streptococcaceae. The record is from RNAcentral.